This 1481-nucleotide ribosomal RNA is filed under the name uncultured organism. RNAcentral's name for it is "bacterial SSU rRNA". It matches the Rfam family "Bacterial small subunit ribosomal RNA". The record is from RNAcentral.
AGGGUUUGAUUAUGGCUCAGGAUGAACGCUAGCGGCAGGCUUAACACAUGCAAGUCGAGGGGUAAGGCUUUCUUCGGAGAGUACACGACCGGCGCACGGGUGAGUAACGCGUAUGCAACCUGCCUCUUACAGGGAGAUAGCCCGAAGAAAUUUGGAUUAAUAUCCCAUAGUUCAUAGAUAUCGCAUGAUAUUUAUGGUAAAGCCCCGGCGGUAAGAGAUGGGCAUGCGUGACAUUAGCUAGUUGGUGAGGUAACGGCUCACCAAGGCCACGAUGUCUAGGGGGUCUGAAAGGAUGAUCCCCCACACUGGUACUGAGACACGGACCAGACUCCUACGGGAGGCAGCAGUGAGGAAUAUUGCGCAAUGGAGGCAACUCUGACGCAGCCAUGCCGCGUGAAGGAAGACGGCCCUACGGGUUGUAAACUUCUUUUCUUAGCUAAGAAUUAUCGAUACGUGUAUUGGUUUGACUAGCUUUGGGAUAAGCAUCGGCUAACUCCGUGCCAGCAGCCGCGGUAAUACGGAGGAUGCAAGCGUUAUCCGGAUUCACUAGGUUUAAAGGGUGCGUAGGCGGGACAGUAAGUCAGUGGUGAAAUCUUGCGGCUUAACCGUAAAAUAGCCAUUGAUACUGUUGUCCUUGAGUUCGGUUGAGGUAGGCGGAAUGAGUAAUGUAGCGGUGAAAUGCUUAGAUAUUACUCAGAACACCGAUUGCGAAGGCAGCUUACUAAACCGAAACUGACGCUGAGUCACGAAAGCGUGGGGAGCGAACAGGAUUAGAUACCCUGGUAGUCCACGCCGUAAACGUUGAUUACUCGUUGUUGGCAAUACAUCGUCAGCGACUGAGCGAAGGCAUUAAGUAAUCCACCUGGGGAGUACGUCAGCAAUGAUGAAACUCAAAGGAAUUGACGGGGGCCCGCACAAGCGGAGGAACAUGUGGUUUAAUUCGAUGAUACGCGAGGAACCUUACCUGGGCUUAAAUGUAUUGUGCAUAGAGUAGAAAUACUCUUUUCCUUCGGGACUCUUUACAAGGUGCUGCAUGGUUGUCGUCAGCUCGUGCCGUGAGGUGUCGGGUUAAGUCCCAUAACGAGCGCAACCCUCAUUGUCAGUUGCCAGCACAUAAUGGUGGGGACUCUGAUAAAACUGCCGGUGCAAACCGUGAGGAAGGUGAGGAUGACGUCAAAUCAGCACGGCCCUUAUGUCCAGGGCUACACACGUGUUACAAUGGUCAGUACAGUGGGCAGCUACCACGCGAGUGGAUGCUAAUCUCGAAAGUGCGUCUCAGUUCGGAUUGAAGUCUGCAACUCGACUUCAUGAAGCUGGAAUCGCUAGUAAUCGCGCAUCAGCCAUGGCGCGGUGAAUACGUUCCCGGGCCUUGUACACACCGCCCGUCAAGCCAUGGAAGCUGAGGGUGCCUGAAGUCGGUGACCGAAAGGAGCUGCCUAGGGCAAAAUCGGUAACUGGGGCUAAGUCGUAACAAGGUAACC